UGUGAUCAGCUCGCAGCUCCAGCUGAGCUACCUUUUCCGUCCUCUGUUUGUGCUUUGAAAAGCACCGCUUGACCCCACCCAGCGACUUGAAGGCCAGUUACCCUGAACUGUUUUUGUCGCAGAAGCACCAACAUGAGGCUUCCUAACAGCGACAUGCCGCAGGUCCCGACUGCUGCAGUGACGGACUGGGAUCAAAAGACGGCCGUGAACCGACAGCUAGCGGACCGUGAGGAAAUAUUCGCGGAUUUUUACAAAACGUGUAUUGGAUUAAAAUCACUUAGGCUACUACCGCUACAGGCAACAGGUUGAGACAUUCCGACUGUGGUGGUUUGUCCCGCUGUGGUCCCCUGCCAAUUGGUGAACACAGAACCUUCCACUACAUUUGAACUUCAACUGAUUAAAGUUGGUCAGCUCAAGCCAUGUUGCUGCGUUUUUAUCUAUCAACCUCCUGGUCCAGCGGGCCAGUUUUUAUCUGGGUUUACUGACCUUCUCAACUCUAUUAUUAAGCUGGACAAAGUGUUAUUAGUUUGGGAUUUUAAUCUGCACAUAAAUGACGCCACAAAAUAUGUAGCUACUAAAUUUCUUCAUGUUACUUAAUCUUUUAAUUUUCAAGCAACAUGUUUCUGGGGCCACUCACACGGGUGGUCAUACUCUAGGCUUAGAUAUUGACCAUAUCCGAUGUGAGGACCUACUGAUCAGUGAUCACAAAUGUAUUUUCCUGGAUCUCUCUGUUUAUGCCGACUCUCUUUGUCCUAAAAGAACUGAGAACACAGCCGGUCACUUUUCAGAGCACUUUCUCUGUGAUUUUAAUACAAAUCCCCAUGAUGUGGAGUUUUUAACACAGUCUUUAAUGAGCAUUGCUCCAUGUUGCUGGACUAAGCGGCACACUUAAAAGUUAGGACUAGAGCUAUCUGCACCACUUCCCCGUGGAUGACAGAUGACCUAGUGUUCUGGACUCUUUUCAUCCAGUCAGUUCACAAGAUUUGAUGAAAGUGAUUAGGAAAAUGAAGCUAUCUUCUAGCCCUCUUGAUGUUUUACCAUGCUCUCUAUUUUUAAAGUUUUACCUGUUAUUGACCCUGCUGUUGCAGCUAUUGUAAAUUCCUCCUCGUCUACAGGAUGCGUCCCUUCUUAUUUUAAGCACGCUACCAUCCAGCCCAUUUUGAAUUAAAACAAACUUAGAUACUGCUCUGCCCAAUAAUUACAAGCAGAUAUCUAAACUCCCAUUUUUAUCAAAAAAUUUAGAGAAGGUUGAUACCAACCAACUUACAGAGAGAGACACAACAUCCUUGAUCAGGGUUUCGGAAACAGUAAUCUCCUGAAACCGCUCUUCUGAGGGUUUCUAACAACAUCUUAAUGUCCUCAGAUGUAGGUGAUUGUUAUGUGUUGGUACUCCUUGACCUCAGCUGUGCAUUCGACACUGUUGACCAUCACAUUCUCAUUCUCAAGAGGUUACUUGACUGGGUGGGUAUAUCAGGCAUAGCAUUAGAAUGGUUUUCAUCAUAUCUCACUGAGGUUUUACGGUCUCUUUUGGUGACUUUGUGGCUAAUCCUUCCCCACUGUCCUGUGGGGUCCCGCAGGGCUCGGUUCCUGGGCCCUUGUUAUUCUCACUCUAUUUGCUGCCAUUAGGACAGGUCAUAAACAGUUUUAACAUUACUUACCAGUUAUAUGUGGACGACAUUCAACUUUGCUUCUCAUUUAAACCAAGUGAAGUUGUCUAGGCUCCUCGACUGUCUUAACGCCAUUAGGAAAUAGUUGGCAAAAUUUUUUUUACAGCUCAAUGCUGAAAAGACAGAGCUUCUCGUUGUUGCUCCAGAGAAGGUUGUCCCCACCCUCACCUGCAUAACUUAGGGUUAGGGUUAGGGUU
Scophthalmus maximus (turbot) is the source of this 1864-nucleotide long non-coding RNA. RefSeq lists it as uncharacterized. The transcript has 3 exons. The record is from RefSeq and is a predicted model, not a curated record. NCBI's taxonomy places the organism in Eukaryota, Metazoa, Chordata, Actinopteri, Pleuronectiformes, Scophthalmidae.